UUCCCAAGUAUUAAGUUGAGUUUGGGAUCUCCUUCCUGUUAAUUAAACUUAGGGACAUUGAAAGGGGCAAGCAGAUAGAACUGUAUAGAAAAUAUCAUUCUAUUCUUUCAUUUCCGAGCCUACAAUG
Molecule: small nucleolar RNA, 127 nt
Organism: Ochotona princeps (American pika)
Lineage: Eukaryota; Metazoa; Chordata; Mammalia; Lagomorpha; Ochotonidae
Source: Ensembl